GAACAGUGCCCAUCUCCGAGGAAGGACAGCACCCGACUGAGGCAGGAGGAGCUCCAGGCAGCAGCCUGUGAGACAGGCGUGGACUUCGUGUACAAGGUCAGGCUGAAUCUGUGAAGUCCUCCACCUCCAGUCCCUACAUCUAUUACAACAUGAAACUCGAGGACAUCAUCAAGGGGGGCACAGACUCUGCUGUGUCCCUCACCAUGAAGAAAUUCAUCUCUCACACCACCUGCCAUGACUCCCUGGGGCUACAAGGACAGGAGACAUACCUCAUCAUGGGCCAAAUUUCAGACAUGUGGAAAGUCAAAUCUGAUUACAUCUAUGUCCUGGGCAGGAAGACAUUCUUCAUGCAGUGGCCGGCCGAUGGGGAUGUGGGCAAGAAGGAAUUGCUGGACCACCUGACGGGAUUUUCAGACUAUAUGAGCACUCAUGGCUGUGAGUCCUGAGACUCUGAGGUCUCUACUGCCCUCAGGAGGUUGUUUCCAAGCAGGCACAGGCCACUGGCCUUAACUCCAAAUAAAGAGCAUGGAGUAUCAUACCCAAAGUCCAUACAUUUGUCCCUGCUCCAACAUUCAUCAAGGACCCUGCACAACCAGCCCCAACACUGCAGGGACCUGCCUCCUCCCUCUCCCUCCUACACCAUUUCAAUUACACCGGCCUUCUCUGUGUCCUUCCAACACCCAAGUUGAUUCCUACCUCAGGGCCUUUGCACUCACUGUUCCCUCUACCAAGUACACCCUUCUUCCAGAUAUCUGAAUGUAUUGAACACUUCCCUUAUUUGGACUUUCUUCUUUCUCAUGCCUGAAUAAUAGUCCAGAGUUUAAAUGUUUAA
Zalophus californianus (California sea lion) is the source of this 832-nucleotide long non-coding RNA. RefSeq lists it as uncharacterized. The transcript is spliced from 4 exons. NCBI's taxonomy places the organism in Eukaryota, Metazoa, Chordata, Mammalia, Carnivora, Otariidae. The record is from RefSeq and is a predicted model, not a curated record.